Pimephales promelas (fathead minnow) is the source of this 346-nucleotide non-coding RNA. Lineage: Eukaryota; Metazoa; Chordata; Actinopteri; Cypriniformes; Leuciscidae. The record is from RefSeq and is a predicted model, not a curated record.
CCAACGUUGAAGAGCAAGUGCAAGACACAUUUCUUGUGAAUGACACUGAGGAGAGAACAGAUGUAAUGUGUCAAAAUCUGCAACGGUGUCCAUUAUGUGUCUAGUUGACAAAGUCACAUUUGUGGACCUCUUGGUUCGAUGCUUAAUGGAAAGAUCUACGUGACUCGACAAAGCUGUAUAUCUCUUGGAGGGGAGCAACUGCCCAACAAACUGCUUUCGAAUCAUCCACAAACAAGAAUGGAUGGGCUGCGUUCUCCCUAAACACUGUUAAUCUUAAGGCUGAUCUGAAUCUGGUAUGUUGAUGAUGGAUAAAUUAUAUAUUUGGGAAAAUAAAGUAAAAAAAAAA